This 504-nucleotide ribosomal RNA is filed under the name Trichoderma koningiopsis. RNAcentral's name for it is "eukaryotic LSU rRNA". The stretch from base 142 to 295 matches the Rfam family "5.8S ribosomal RNA". Lineage: Eukaryota; Fungi; Ascomycota; Sordariomycetes; Hypocreales; Hypocreaceae. The record is from RNAcentral.
UGUUGCCUCGGCGGGGUCACGCCCCGGGUGCGUCGCAGCCGUGGAACCAGGCGCCCGCCGGAGGAACCAACCAAACUCUUUCUGUAGUCCCCUCGCGGACGUAUUUCUUACAGCUGUGAGCAAAAAUUCAAAAUGAAUCAAAACUUUCAACAACGGAUCUCUUGGUUCUGGCAUCGAUGAAGAACGCAGCGAAAUGCGAUAAGUAAUGUGAAUUGCAGAAUUCAGUGAAUCAUCGAAUCUUUGAACGCACAUUGCGCCCGCCAGUAUUCUGGCGGGCAUGCCUGUCCGAGCGUCAUUUCAACCCUCGAACCCCUCCGGGGGAUCGGCGUUGGGGAUCGGGACCCCUCACACGGGUGCCGGCCCCUAAAUACAGUGGCGGUCUCGCCGCAGCCUCUCCUGCGCAGUAGUUUGCACAACUCGCACCGGGAGCGCGGCGCGUCCACGUCCGUAAAACACCCAACUUUCUGAAAUGUUGACCUCGGAUCAGGUAGGAAACCCGCGAAC